UAGUUUCUGGUAGCAAAGAAGACCCUCCAGGGGAGUUAGGGGGAUCAACAUCUCAUCAAUGAAGUGGUUAGUUUGGAAUAUAAGGGGUGUACAUAAAAGGUACAAGCAGAAAGAAGUUAGGGAGUAUAUUAGAAAAAACAACAUAUUAAUUUGGAAUAUAAUUGGUGUAAAUAAAAGGUACAAGCAGAAAGAAGUGAGGGAGUAUAUUAGGAAAAACAACAUUAACCUAAUUGGAUUAGUAGAAACUAAG
Molecule: long non-coding RNA, 250 nt
Filed under: Nicotiana benthamiana
Lineage: Eukaryota; Viridiplantae; Streptophyta; Magnoliopsida; Solanales; Solanaceae
Description: long non-coding RNA (NBEN_LNC030619)
Source: RNAcentral